AUUGAACGCUGGCGGCAUGCCUUACACAUGCAAGUCGAACGGCAGCACGGGAGCAAUCCUGGUGGCGAGUGGCGAACGGGUGAGUAAAGUAUCGGAACGUGCCCAGUCGUGGGGGAUAACGUAGCGAAAGUUACGCUAAUACCGCAUACGAUCGAUGGAUGAAAGCGGGGGAUCGCAAGACCUCGCGCGAUUGGAGCGGCCGAUAUCAGGUCAGGUAGUUGGUGGGGUAAAGGCUCACCAAGCCGACGCUCUGUAGCGGGUCUGCGAGGACGACCAGCCGCACUGGGACGGAGACACGGCCCAGACUCCUACGGGAGGCAGCAGUGUGGAAUUUUGGACAAUGGGCGAAAGCCUGAUCCAGCCAUGCCGCGUGCAGGAUGAAGGCCUUCGGGUUGUAAACUGCUUUUGUACGGAACGAAAAGGUUUGGCCUAAUAAGCUGAGCUCAUGACGGUACCGUAAGAAUAAGCACCGGCUAACUACGUGCCAGCCGCCGCGGUAA
This 500-nucleotide ribosomal RNA is filed under the name uncultured bacterium. RNAcentral describes it as "partial 16S ribosomal RNA". It matches the Rfam family "Bacterial small subunit ribosomal RNA", at positions 29 to 523 of the family's 1533-position model. The record is from RNAcentral.